GGUUAAGCGAACAAGCGUACACGGUGGAUGCCCUGGCAGUCAGAGGCGAUGAAGGACGUGCUAAUCUGCGAAAAGCGCCGGUAAGGUGAUAUGAACCGUUAUAACCGGCGAUGUCCGAAUGGGGAAACCCGGUGCACUUCGGUGCAUCAUCGUUAGCUGAAUACAUAGGCUAACGAGGCGAACCGGGGGAACUGAAACAUCUAAGUACCCCGAGGAAAAGAAAUCAACCGAGAUUCCCCCAGUAGCGGCGAGCGAACGGGGAACAGCCCAGAGCCUGAAUCAGCUUGUGUGUCAGUGGAACGGUCUGGAAAGGCCGGCGAUACAGGGUGACAGCCCCGUACACGAAGGCACACAGGCUGUGAGCUCGAUGAGUAGGGCGGGACACGUGAUAUCCUGUCUGAAGAUGGGGGGACCAUCCUCCAAGGCUAAAUACUCCUGACUGACCGAUAGUGAACCAGUACCGUGAGGGAAAGGCGAAAAGAACCCCGGCGAGGGGAGUGAAACAGAACCUGAAACCGUGUACGUACAAGCAGUGGGAGCCUUCGUAAGAGGGUGACUGCGUACCUUUUGUAUAAUGGGUCAGCGACUUAUAUUCUGUAGCAAGGUUAACCGUAUAGGGGAGCCGAAGGGAAACCGAGUCUUAACCGGGCGUUAAGUUGCAGGGUAUAGACCCGAAACCCGGUGAUCUAGCCAUGGGCAGGUUGAAGGUUGGGUAACACUAACUGGAGGACCGAACCGACUAAUGUUGAAAAAUUAGCGGAUGACCUGUGGCUGGGGGUGAAAGGCCAAUCAAACCGGGAGAUAGCUGGUUCUCCCCGAAAGCUAUUUAGGUAGCGCCUCGUGAAUUCAUCUCCGGGGGUAGAGCACUGUUUCGGCUAGGGGGCCAUCCCGGCUUACCAACCCGAUGCAAACUGCGAAUACCGGAGAAUGUUAUCACGGGAGACACACGGCGGGUGCUAACGUCCGUCGUGAAGAGGGAAACAACCCAGACCGCCAGCUAAGGUCCCAAAGUCAUGGUUAAGUGGGAAACGAUGUGGGAAGGCCCAGACAGCCAGGAUGUUGGCUUAGAAGCAGCCAUCAUUUAAAGAAAGCGUAAUAGCUCACUGGUCGAGUCGGCCUGCGCGGAAGAUGUAACGGGGCUAAACCAUGCACCGAAGCUGCGGCAGCGACACUAUGUGUUGUUGGGUAGGGGAGCGUUCUGUAAGCCUGCGAAGGUGUGCUGUGAGGCAUGCUGGAGGUAUCAGAAGUGCGAAUGCUGACAUAAGUAACGAUAAAGCGGGUGAAAAGCCCGCUCGCCGGAAGACCAAGGGUUCCUGUCCAACGUUAAUCGGGGCAGGGUGAGUCGACCCCUAAGGCGAGGCCGAAAGGCGUAGUCGAUGGGAAACAGGUUAAUAUUCCUGUACUUGGUGUUACUGCGAAGGGGGGACGGAGAAGGCUAUGUCGGCCGGGCGACGGUUGUCCCGGUUUAAGCGUGUAGGCUGACUUUCCAGGCAAAUCCGGAAGGUUAAGGCUGAGGCGUGAUGACGAGGCACCACGGUGCUGAAGUGACAAAUGCCCUGCUUCCAGGAAAAGCCUCUAAGCAUCAGGUAACAUCAAAUCGUACCCCAAACCGACACAGGUGGUCAGGUAGAGAAUACCAAGGCGCUUGAGAGAACUCGGGUGAAGGAACUAGGCAAAAUGGUGCCGUAACUUCGGGAGAAGGCACGCUGACAUGUAGGUGAAGCCCCUGCGGGUGGAGCUGAAGUCAGUCGAAGAUACCAGCUGGCUGCAACUGUUUAUUAAAAACACAGCACUGUGCAAACACGAAAGUGGACGUAUACGGUGUGACGCCUGCCCGGUGCCGGAAGGUUAAUUGAUGGGGUUAUCGCAAGAGAAGCUCCUGAUCGAAGCCCCGGUAAACGGCGGCCGUAACUAUAACGGUCCUAAGGUAGCGAAAUUCCUUGUCGGGUAAGUUCCGACCUGCACGAAUGGCGUAAUGAUGGCCAGGCUGUCUCCACCCGAGACUCAGUGAAAUUGAACUCGCUGUGAAGAUGCAGUGUACCCGCGGCAAGACGGAAAGACCCCGUGAACCUUUACUACAGCUUGACACUGAACAUUGAGCCUUGAUGUGUAGGAUAGGUGGGAGGCUUUGAAGCGUGGACGCCAGUCUGCGUGGAGCCGACCUUGAAAUACCACCCUUUAAUGUUUGAUGUUCUAACCUGGCGCCGUGAUCCGGCGUGGGGACAGUGUCUGGUGGGUAGUUUGACUGGGGCGGUCUCCUCCCAAAGUGUAACGGAGGAGCACGAAGGUCAGCUAAUCCUGGUCGGACAUCAGGAGGUUAGUGCAAUGGCAUAAGCUGGCUUGACUGCGAGAGUGACGGCUCGAGCAGGUGCGAAAGCAGGUCAUAGUGAUCCGGUGGUUCUGUAUGGAAGGGCCAUCGCUCAACGGAUAAAAGGUACUCCGGGGAUAACAGGCUGAUACCGCCCAAGAGUUCAUAUCGACGGCGGUGUUUGGCACCUCGAUGUCGGCUCAUCACAUCCUGGGGCUGAAGUAGGUCCCAAGGGUAUGGCUGUUCGCCAUUUAAAGUGGUACGCGAGCUGGGUUUAGAACGUCGUGAGACAGUUCGGUCCCUAUCUGCCGUGGGCGCUGGAGAAUUGAGGGGGGCUGCUCCCAGUACGAGAGGACCGGAGUGGACGCAUCACUGGUGUUCGGGUUGUCAUGCCAAUGGCACUGCCCGGUAGCUAAAUGCGGAAGAGAUAAGUGCUGAAAGCAUCUAAGCACGAAACUUGCCCCGAGAUGAGUUCUCCCUGAGACUGUAAGUCUCCUGAAGGAACGUUGAAGACGACGACGUUGAUAGGCCGGGUGUGUAAGCGCAGCGAUGCGUUGAGCUAACCGGUACUAAUGAACCGUGAGGCUUAACCUU
Molecule: ribosomal RNA, 2902 nt
Filed under: Cronobacter sakazakii
Lineage: Bacteria; Pseudomonadati; Pseudomonadota; Gammaproteobacteria; Enterobacterales; Enterobacteriaceae
Description: 23S ribosomal RNA
Rfam family: Bacterial large subunit ribosomal RNA
Source: RNAcentral